Molecule: unclassified non-coding RNA, 1047 nt
Filed under: Hevea brasiliensis (rubber tree)
Lineage: Eukaryota; Viridiplantae; Streptophyta; Magnoliopsida; Malpighiales; Euphorbiaceae
Source: RNAcentral
AAAAAGUCUAAUUUUUUUACUAUAAGCUUCAUUCAUGAAAAACGUAAUGAUACACCUAUAGACCAAAAAUACAUAAUGCAACAUGACUUCUCUACAAGUUUUCUCUGUUUGUACUGUCCACUCUUUGCUUCACACAACUAUGCAAACCACUGAUUAAAUGGUACACCAAACACACCAAAAAAGGGAAGAAAACAAAACUCGAACCACACACUUUUGAAACCGCGACGAGUUGAGCAUACAACAAGCAUAGUAACGCGAAACUUUUAAGAGAAGAACCACAUCUUGAUGAAGAUUGUCAAAGCUGCUUGCAGAGCAAAAGAAGCAACCAGUAUCAUCAUGAGAUCAUCUGACUGUACAUAUGUUCUGAGGUUCAACGCAACGAAACUAGCUGAUGUUGUGGCAGCAGCAAUUGUGAUGGUCCACCUAAGGAACUCGACGGGGAUGAUCAACAGAAAGGAGCUCAGAACUAAAACAAAGAGUGAAUAUCCCCACAAGCACCAGAAGCGUAUCAGGCUAGCACUUAUACCCAUAUACCGAAUCAAGAAGUAAAACCCCAAUGGCACUAGCAAUGCAUAACCAUAUACUGAGCAGGCUGCCACAUUCACAUAAUUGACAUCAAAGUUCCAAGAACUAUUGCUAUCGCUCUGCAUCAGGUAUGUGGCACAGUUCCCGAUGGAAGAAAGGACAAACACUAAAGUAGUAGAUAUCCAGACAAGCCCGUAAAGGUCAGGGUUAGCAUCAAUCUUGCUGAAGAAAUCUCCAGUAGUAGGGUUCAAUGAACUCAUCAAUCUGUUCAAGACAAGGUCUGUAUCCACGUUAAAAUAUUCUGUAUAAGAUGACACGCUAAAUACUCCAUUCCACCUGUUUGUUGAUUGCUGCCCAUCUCCUUCACCUCCAAGAGUUUGAUACCCUCUUCCUGCAUUUGGACCAUUAUUUGGAGGAAGUAUGGGAGAAUUUGCUGCAGGGGCUUGUGGUUUAUAGCUGUUCUUUUCUUCAGUGAGAACUGCCGGCACUGAGCCAACAAGGUGACUCGUCGGGAAAUUGGUG